Molecule: ribosomal RNA, 369 nt
Filed under: Meloidogyne arenaria
Lineage: Eukaryota; Metazoa; Nematoda; Chromadorea; Rhabditida; Meloidogynidae
Description: eukaryotic LSU rRNA
Rfam family: Eukaryotic large subunit ribosomal RNA
Source: RNAcentral
GAAUUCGCCAAGCGUUGGAUUGUUCACCCACCAAUAGGGAACGUGAGCUGGGUUUAGACCGUCGUGAGACAGGUUAGUUUUACCCUACUAAAUACUUGUUGCUAUGAUGGUAAUCCUGCUUAGUACGAGAGGAACCGCAGGUUCAGACAUUUGGUUCAUGUGCUUGGUCGAUAGGCCAAUGGCGCGAAGCUACCAUCUGAGGGAUUAUGACUGAACGCCUCUAAGUCAGAAUCCCGCCCAGUCAUGAUAGCAAUAUAUAUCGCUCUCCGGUGUCGGAAGGCAAAAUGUAUGCCAUUUUUUGUGGUAGUACAAGCCCCAGUAUCUGGCAUUUUCUUUCUACAAUAAUUGGUAGUUGGUUGCUAAAAGCUU